Long non-coding RNA from Corticium candelabrum, 2964 nucleotides. RefSeq lists it as uncharacterized. The transcript has 6 exons. The record is from RefSeq and is a predicted model, not a curated record. Lineage: Eukaryota; Metazoa; Porifera; Homoscleromorpha; Homosclerophorida; Plakinidae.
AUUUGCCUUUACCCGCGCAACACAAUUUGAAAGCCAAGUCGUCUCUGGAUUUCCCAACUCUAGAGGGACACCUCCCCUAUGUGCUGAAAUUCCACAACGUAUUUCUUCAGAAUUGUUUUGCAUUUUUGAUAAUACAUAAUUGUGUUUACCGUAGUCUAUACCUAAUGUGCAACUGCAAUAAACCUGUCACGUGAACAGCUAGGUAUGUAUAGCAUUUGUAUUUGUCCGUAAUUUGUAUUAAUUAAUUAGGGAAGACAAUGAACAAGAACAGGAAAUUACACGCAUCAUUGAUAGAGACAAAACAGUGCAUAUAAUUGAUUAAAUAAGCAGUAAAUAAUUAUAGACGGCAUUUAAUUAACGUCUAUGUUAAUUAAUUAUAUCUAGUAUGACAAUGGUACAGAAGUUGUUGCUCAUGCAUGUAGUUGUUCUACAUGCUAUCUGUUGGUAGAUCUAGUUCUUAUGUGUUACUGCCAAAAAUCUUACAUGGUAGGUAGUAUUGUAGACUAGUACUGUACAGUCUGUAUAAUGUGGUAGAAAAGUGGGUUGUGUGUACACUUCUAUCUAGAAGAAGGCAUGAUUUCUUAUUACUGAUUUUAGUUUACGAAUUAAUGUCACAGAAUAACUGCAUCAAUUUGAAACAGAAUAACGAAAUAGUGCCAGUGCAGUCAGGUUUUGCUCGUGACUUGUGCUUGUGUUUAUUCUGAUGUUGGCUAUUUGCUCAAACGUUUGCCUCCUGACAUACCAACUGUUAACUUUUAUGUCAGUAUGAUAGGAUGUUAUAGCUAGAUAUUAUGUGCUAUUGUUUGGGAGAGCAACAUUGCAUAUGACCAAAGUAGUCUUGUAAGUCAUUAGUGAUGUGUUAUCAGCAUGUUUUUCAUACUCAUGAAGCAAAUUUUAGAAGGUGUUGAUGUACAAAGAUGGUAGCAAAAGAGUUGGUAAACGGAUAAUUGUGAGAGACUUCAUUUGGCAUAAGAGCUUAAUUAUUGAGUUAUGAAUGUGCAAACAUGCUGAGAAAAGGUAUCCUUGGGAGAUUGCUAGACAUCAUUCGAAACAAAAGAAGCAAAUAAUUUGUUGUCUAUGCAAUUACUGGUAGGAGUCUACCCUAGUUGAAGUGCCUACCUUGACUCAAGGUAUCUGGUCUACUCUACUAUAUACGACUAUUUGUUACUUUUUAUUGACAAUACCAUAUUAUUGAGAUAUCUAUGGAUUUUGCUUGCUGCAAAUUUGAAUUAUGCAACUUUGCAGAAGCAGCAGAUGGUUGAAUCGUCAACUGGCUUCUGUCUUUUUACAAGCAAAGCAUGGAUCCCACAUAUACACCAGCAAUGGCAUGAAACUGUAAUUACAGAUUGCAAGGGAGGUAUGGAGCAAUACAUAAGGAUUGAUGACAAUGUGUGCAUUGUGUUUUGAUGUUAUUAAUACUAAAUAGUUGCUCGUUGUUGGUGCAAUUUUCAAGAGGGUUGCAGGUGAACUGUACAUACCUGUUGUUGUGGACAUAACAUAGUUUCUUAUUCAGUGACUUCAUGAAAUCACUAAUUACAUGGAUGAGUCAUAGUCAUUGUAGUAUGUGGUUGCAGAGAGUUAGCAUAAUAUUGUGUAUCAGUGUGACUAUUACAAAUGAAUAGUCUGGGUGUUUUAGCUACAAGUCUGUCAACGUCUGUAUUAAAUAACAACACAUGAUGGUCUGUAUUAAAUAACAACACAUGAUGGCGUGUUUGAGAUCUGUCAGUCAAUCAGUGCAUUACUAUUGGGUUAGCUUAUUGAUUUAUCACUGAAUGUCAAUGUGCGGUGAACUAUCACAACCUCACUCAUUAGUAAUUGAAAUUUGACCAUUUAUAGCAAUUGCAGCAUGAGUUUACUGGUGAGGUUUCAUGCUUAUAGGUGUGGGCCAAACGCCCUGGGCCAGUCGAGAUACUCAUGUUUUAUAUUGAAGUAGCUAAAUUUGGUCAGCCUAUAGUCAGAGUCAGGCGUCAGUGUGUCUGCUAAUGCAUAAUGGAGUGGUCAGCUACAAAUUGAAAGACCAUGUUUACUGUGGUUUUAGUGGAGAUAAGGACUGUUGAAUUUACAGUUUGCAAUAUUGUAUGAUAUUAUUUUGGCCGAACACAGCUGUGGUGUACCUUGGAUGGUAAUUGCCAGAUUGUUGAAGCAUUCCUUUGUAGAUUCAUCUGUUUUAGAUGACUUAGUACCUGACAAUUAGAAUUGUAAAUCAAAAUAUGAUCUUUUGUUUUAGCAACUGAUGGAUACAUAUUGUAUUUAUAUUGUUCUCCUAGAUCACUCAUGGAUGUCCUAGAAGCACUAUAGAAUUAAAUUAUUAACAUACUGAUUCAAAGGUUGUGCUUUUCACAUGAAACAAGAAGUUUUAAUGAUAGACACUAGUGCCAAACAGAUUAGCAAUAUUGGAUUACAACAGACUAGGUGUAGCAUUAGUAGUUCUUUAGAGUGUGUGAGAUUAUGAGAAUGUGACAUAGUCUAUGAAUAUGAGAGGAAUAAUAAGAAUGCCAUUUACCCACAAUGUAAAUUGAGUAUGAUCUAUUGUUUAUAAUAUAAAUAGAACAUAAGCAACUGGUACAGCUCGGUACCUGUAUAUGUGUGUCUAUCUAGUUCAUAGCAAUGCUAUAUGUGUAAUUCAGCAUUACUGUAUCUUCCAUAGAAAUAAACUGAAUAGCUUCGUUAAUCUUGCAGAUGUGUCAUUUUAAUACACUACAUUUACUGAAGACUGCUCGGUUCCCAAGGCAGUGCUCAUUGGCACUCUUGCUGUUUCACAUUGUCUUUGUAUAGUGACCUCGACCACAACAGAGAUGGUCACAGUUGUCUUCACAGACUCGACCUGUUGUUCCCAAACUGCCUGUACUAUUGUUUUGUGAACAGAAAUCUGGAGAUGCAUUUUCAUGGAGCAACUCUAUAUGCUUGUCCCUUCUUUUUCUGGUCUGAAACUGUUUUCUGAUUUUUAAGUUGCUGUUUUGGAAU